Molecule: transfer RNA, 70 nt
Filed under: Tryella crassa
Lineage: Eukaryota; Metazoa; Arthropoda; Insecta; Hemiptera; Cicadidae
Description: tRNA-Lys
Source: RNAcentral
CAUUAAAUGGCUGAAAGUAAGUGAUGGUCUCUUAAACCAAUUUAUAGUAGCUAACGAUUAUUUUUAAUGA